Molecule: long non-coding RNA, 735 nt
Organism: Cornus florida
Lineage: Eukaryota; Viridiplantae; Streptophyta; Magnoliopsida; Cornales; Cornaceae
Exons: 2
Source: RefSeq, a predicted model, not a curated record
UCUAUUUAAUAAGUGCUAUCCCUUGACUCCAAAGCAGCAACUUCCUCUCUUUCACCAUCUCUCUCUUCGGUUCUCUCUCUGCAGGGUUCCUUUUUCCAAUCUAUCUCAGUAACCCUAACAUAUUAUUUUUGACGGCUACAUCUAGAAAAGCGUUCAAAGGGAAAAGAGAGGCGAUAGGAGUCGAAGCUUGAACUGGUGAUUUGGUAUUUGAUUUACAGUGCAAUCGGAUCUUGAUCUGCGCCUAACCCAGGAGCAGAUCAAGAUCAAUAUACCAUGAUAACCUCCCAAGAGGUACUUGUAUAACCAGAUCUGGUUGCGACCUGUUGGAUCUUGGCUUCAGUUGCGAGGGACAACAGGUCAUUGGUUUGAUCCGGUACUUGCUCGUCUUCAAAAGAUUACCAUGAUGGACUUCGGAUUUACUGUCUUUUUGGACUGAAGAAAGCAUGGAUUCUUGCUCAUGCAAGUGUUUUACUAUUGCACAUGUGAUCUUGAUGGCAUCCUAGCAAUUUCCUCUGCUUGGAAUAUGAUCAAAUCUACAUAUGGAGGUGGCAUUUUCAGCCAACAUUAUAUGUUCGUUGCUCUGGAUCAAGUGGAUAGAGGAAGCAGUUUUAUUUUUAAUAUGUAUCAUUACGUUAUGUUGUCUAUAAUAUUGUUGUUGUAUACAAACUGCAAAUUUGUUUAAUUGGUUUCUAAGAAUUUUGAAUGAGAUACAUUUGUUUUUUUUUUUUUUUUUAA